Molecule: ribosomal RNA, 497 nt
Filed under: uncultured bacterium
Lineage: Bacteria
Description: partial 16S ribosomal RNA
Rfam family: Bacterial small subunit ribosomal RNA
Source: RNAcentral
GAUGAACGCUGGCGGCGUGCCUAAUACAUGCAAGUCGAGCGAACAGACGAGGAGCUUGCUCCUCUGACGUUAGCGGCGGACGGGUGAGUAACACGUGGAUAACCUACCUAUAAGACUGGGAUAACUUCGGGAAACCGGCUCUAAUACCGGAUAAUAUAUUGAACCGCAUGGUUCAAUAGUGAAAGACGGUUUUGCUGUCACUUAUAGAUGGAUCCGCGCCGCAUUAGCUAGUUGGUAAGGUAACGGCUUACCAAGGCAACGAUGCGUAGCCGACCUGAGAGGGUGAUCGGCCACACUGGAACUGAGACACGGUCCAGACUCCUACGGGAGGCAGCAGUAGGGAAUCUUCCGCAAUGGGCGAAAGCUUGACGGAGCAACGCCGCGUGAGUGAUGAAGGUCUUCGGAUCGUAAAACUCUGUUAUUAGGGAAGAACAAAUGUGUAAGUAACUAUGCACGUCUUGACGGUACCUAAUCAGAAAGCGACGGCUAACUACGUG